GGCCCAGAUUCCUACGGGAGGCAGCAGUGGGGAAUAUUGCACAAUGGGCGCAAGCCUGAUGCAGCAACGCCGCUUGAGGGACGACGGCCUUCGGGUUGUAAACCUCUUUUAGCAGGGAAGAAGCGAAAGUGACGGUACCUGCAGAAAAAGCGCCGGCUAACUACGUGCCAGCAGCCGCGGUAAUACGUAGGGCGCAAGCGUUAUCCGGAAUUAUUGGGCGUAAAGAGCUCGUAGGCGGUUUGUCGCGUCUGCUGUGAAAUCCCGAGGCUCAACCUCGGGUCUGCAGUGGGUACGGGCAGACUAGAGUGCGGUAGGGGAGAUUGGAAUUCCUGGUGUAGCGGUGGAAUGCGCAGAUAUCAGGAGGAACACCGAUGGCGAAGGCAGAUCUCUGGGCCGUAACUGACGCUGAGGAGCGAAAGGGUGGGGAGCAAACAGGCUUAGAUACCCUGGUAGUCCACCCCGUAAACGUUGGGAACUAGUUGUGGGGUCCAUUCCACGGAUUCCGUGACGCAGCUAACGCAUUAAGUUCCCCGCCUGGGGAGUACGGCCGCAAGGCUAAAACUCAAAGGAAUUGACGGGGACCCGCACAAGCGGCGGAGCAUGCGGAUUAAUUCGAUGCAACGCGAAGAACCUUACCAAGGCUUGACAUAUACGAGAACGGGCCAGAAAUGGUCAACUCUUUGGACACUCGUAAACAGGUGGUGCAUGGNUGUCGUCAGCUCGUGUCGUGAGAUGUUGGGUUAAGUCCCGCAACGAGCGCAACCCUCGUUCUAUGUUGCCAGCACGUAAUGGUGGGAACUCAUGGGAUACUGCCGGGGUCAACUCGGAGGAAGGUGGGGAUGACGUCAAAUCAUCAUGCCCCUUAUGUCUUGGGCUUCACGCNUGCUACAAUGGCCGGUACAAAGGGCUGCAAUACCGUAAGGUGGAGCGAAUCCCAAAAAGCCGGUCCCAGUUCGGAUUGAGGUCUGCAACUCGACCUCAUGAAGUCGGAGUCGCUAGUAAUCGCAGAUCAGCAACGCUGCGGUGAAUACGUUCCCGGGUCUUGUACACACCGCCCGUCAAGUCAUGAAAGUCGGUAACACCUGAAGCCGGUGGCCCAACCC
Molecule: ribosomal RNA, 1103 nt
Filed under: Microbacterium flavum
Lineage: Bacteria; Bacillati; Actinomycetota; Actinomycetes; Micrococcales; Microbacteriaceae
Description: bacterial SSU rRNA
Rfam family: Bacterial small subunit ribosomal RNA
Source: RNAcentral